RNAcentral lists this long non-coding RNA (3504 nucleotides) under Octopus vulgaris (common octopus). Lineage: Eukaryota; Metazoa; Mollusca; Cephalopoda; Octopoda; Octopodidae. The record is from RNAcentral.
GUUUUUAUACAUUUCACUCGUGAAAUUUUCAUCUCGCGGAGAAAUUAUUUCCUGAAGACGAUUAGAAGAGAUGGAAACAGAAAUAAAAAAUUUAUGGAGAAAUGCAAGUAAGUCUUUUACUCGGUGGUGUGAGAAGUAAUUACGAUGUGCGUGGUGGUGGGAAAUCGAAUAUUUAUUUCCGUUGGGGAUUAUAAUGGUUCAAAUCUUUAUAUAUAAAAGUAAGGUUGUGUGUCUGUCUCCUACGAUUUAGAUUCCUAACUACUCCCACAUUUUGCGGUGCAGUUUAACCAAAACCGGGUAUCUUAUAGUCGUGAUUCAUAUCGAGCCCUUCUGGAUAUUAGCGGGCUUCUACGAUGAGUCUACGAUUUAAACAAAAAUUUACCAUCAAUUUUUUUCCAUUUGAAUGCAUUUCUUUCGCUAUUAUAUAAGGGAAGUAACUCUCUAUAAAUGUCUACGAUUUUAAAAAUAAUUUACCAUAAUUUUUUUCCAUUUUAAUGCAUUUCUUCGCUAUUAUAUAAGGGAAGUAACUCUCUAAAAAUGUCUACGAUGAGUCAACGAUUUAAAAAGUUAUUUACCAUAAUUUUUUUCCAUUUUAAUGCAUUUCUUUCGCUAUUAUAUAAGGGAAGUAACUCUCUAAAAAUGUCUACGAUUUUAAAAAUAAUUUACCAUCAUUUUUUUCCAUUUUAAUGCAUUUUUUCCCUAUUAUAUAAGGGAAGUAACUCUCUAAAAAUGUCUACGAUUAGUCAACGAUUUUUAAAAAAAUUUACCAUCAUUUUUUUUCCAUUUUUAAUGCAUUUUUUUGCUACUUUCUGGCUAUAACUCUCUAAAAAUGCUUUAUAGUUAUUUCCCUUACAAACCCGAGCAACGCCGGGCGAUACUGCUAGUAUUAAAUAAUUCUGUUGUGUCUGGGGAGAGUCAUUCUCUUUUAGUGUCUUAUAUUUGAACACAUUCACUGGUAAAAUUUCCACUUGUUUCUGUUUUUGUUUUUCUAAAAUUUUAGUUGCGUCUUGCAAUCUUUUCAAGAGUUUUGAGUCAAAACUAUUUGAAAAGGUUGCGAGACGCAACGGAAAAAGAAAUAAGUGGAAAUUCUAGUGGCGAGUGUGUUAAAUUAUAAGGCAUUAAAAGAGAAUGCCAUGAUGGCGAUCUUUUGUCUCUAGUAGACCUUUCCGUCGAUUUCCGUAAAAAACAUUUUUUUGUUUUACAUAUGGGCUUGCGGGAACUUUUGAAGUAAUGAGAGCGAAAGAGACUAAGAGAAAGCGAUUGUAUGACGAGGGAAGUUCUUUUGAAGUUACCGUGCAUGGGAAGCAUUGAUGUACAUGUGUGUGUGUGUGUGUUUGAUGGGGUGUGGGAGACAGACAGUAUGUUGUGUAAGUGAAGUGCUUCUGUUAGUGUGUGUGAAGAGACAGAGAGAGUAAUGUGUCUCUUUCGCUCUCAUUACUUCAAAAAUUCCCGCAAGCCCAUAUGUAAAAAAAAAAAAUUUUUUUACAGAAAUCGACGGAAAGGUCUACUAGAGACGAAAGAUCGCUGAAUAAUGCUUCAACACACGAACUCACAUAAAGAAUCUUGCAAACCAAAUCCCAAAACGAAAUUAAAUAAUUCAUCUGUAUGAAAAAUGCUAUGUUAACGUCUUUAAUGAGUGAGACAGUCGAAGGUUAUUAAGAAAGAAGGCAUUAAAAAAGGCUGCGAGCUAGCAGAAACGUUAGCACGCCGGGUGAAAUGCUUAGCGGUAUUUCGUCUGUCGUUACGUUUUGAGUACAAAUUCCGCCGAGGUCGACUUUGCCUUUCAUCCUUUCGGGAUCGAUAAAUUAAGUACCAGUUACGCACUGGGGUCGAUAUAAUCGACUUAAUCCGUUUGUUGUCCUUGUUUGUCCCCUCUGUGUUUAGCCCCUAGUGGGUAAUAAAGAAAUAGGUAUUUCGUUUGUCGUUACGUUCUAAGUUCAAAUUCCGCCGAGGUUGACUUUGCCUUUCAUCCUUUCGGUGUCGAUAAAUUAAGUACCAGUUACGCACUGUGGUCGAUAUAAUCGACUUAAUCCGUUUGUCUGUCCCCUCUGUGUUUAGCCCCUUGUGGGUAGUAAAGAAAUAGGUAUUUCGUCUGCCGUUACGUUCUCAGUUCAAAUUCCACCGAGGUAGACUUUGCCUUUCAUCCUUUGGGGGUCGAUUAAAUAAGUAUCAAUUACGCACUGGGGUCGAUAUAAUCAACUUAAUCCGUUUGUCUGUCCUUGUUUGUCCCCUCUGUGUAUAGCCCCUUGUGGGCAGUAAAGAAAUAAGAAAGAAGGCAUUCCUUCGAUAUAGUUCAAAUUCCGCCGAGGUCGACUUUGCCUUUCAUCCUUUCGGGGUCGAUAAAUUAAGUACCAGUUACGCACUGGGUCGAUAUAAUCGGUUAAUCCGUUUGUCUGCCCUUGUUUGUCCCCUCUGUGUUUAGCCCCUGUGGGUAGUAAAGAAAUAGGUAUUUCGUCUGCCAUUACGUUCUGAGUUCAAAUUCCGUCGAGGUUGACUUUGCCUUUCAUCUUUUCGGGGUCGAUUAAAUAAGUACCAGUUACGCACUGGGGUCGAUAUAAUCGACUUAAUCCCUUUGUUUGUCCCCUCUGUGUAUAGCCCCUUGUGGGUAGUAAAGAAAUAAGAAAGAAGGCAUUCCUUCGAUAUAACUCGACAAAACCAAAACCUUUCACUUCGGGUGUUUCCGUGGGUUGUGGAGUGUAGAUAUAACGAAAUUAUGCCAGGUUUAUCAGUAUUAAAAUGUGUUAUCCUCUAUAUCUUAUACUGUUUCUUUAUUCUUUCAGAUCUCCAGGUGACAUUGGUGUAAAAGAACCAUUUACGUCAGAUCCAUUGUCAAUAUUCGUCAUGUCUUAAAGACCAAAGGAAGAUGUCCUGUGAAAUGUGGAAGAUAAAUAUAAUCCUGUUUAUAUAAAUGGGAAAAUUAAUGUGAAACAUUUUCUCUAAACUAAGAUAAACAUUGGCUUCAAUACCUGGGAUGUGUUCAAAAAAGUUUUUGUAUAUUAAUUAUAUUAAUUAUGUUCAGAAAUUUUACAAAUUCAUAUGCGUCGUCUUCAAAUAUUGGCAACAACCACAGUUGCUGGGAAUGUAGAAAUAAUGACCAAGAUGUUUGGCUAUUUGCCGUGCCUGAGAAGACAUGUUAAUCCAAGAAAAAUCAUAAACAUGCCCACUGUUGGUGACCUGUAAAACGAACCCAGUACACUGGUUAAUAAUUUUAUGGGUGCAUUCACAAGAUUUCAAAAGGAGAGUGGGUGCUAAACCGCAGAAAUUGUAUUCAUCUCAAUAGACGUCAUUGAUUGGUUGAAAUUGCCGAAAUGCAAGAAAUUUAACAGCAAAUGCUUACAAACUACAGAAUUUUCUCAAGAAAGCCAAGAGAAAAAGAAAGACAUCCAACCAUAGAGACCAAGCAAAAACAGACUUCAGUCCAGAGUAGCUCUCCAGCAUACCAGCUCCUAGUGAAACUGUCUGUCUCGUGCCAGCAUGGAAAAUGGAUGUUAAAUGAUGAUGGUA